GUGUCAGCAGCCGCGGUAAUACGGAGGAUGCGAGCGUUAUCCGGAUUUAUUGGGUUUAAAGGGUGCGUAGGCGGAUUUAUAAGUCAGUGGUGAAAACCUGCAGCUUAACUGUAGAACUGCCAUUGAUACUGUGAGUCUUGAGUAUGGUCAAGGUAGGCGGAAUGUGUAAUGUAGCGGUGAAAUGCUUAGAUAUUACACAGAACACCGAUUGCGAAGGCAGCUUACUGGACCAUUACUGACGCUGAUGCACGAAAGCGUGGGGAGCGAACAGGAUUAGAUACCCGCGUAGUCC
RNAcentral lists this ribosomal RNA (292 nucleotides) under uncultured bacterium. RNAcentral's name for it is "partial 16S ribosomal RNA". It matches the Rfam family "Bacterial small subunit ribosomal RNA", at positions 505 to 796 of the family's 1533-position model. The record is from RNAcentral.